AGUGAACGCUGGCGGUAGGCCUAACACAUGCAAGUCGAACGGCAGCACAGUAAGAGCUUGCUCUUACGGGUGGCGAGUGGCGGACGGGUGAGGAAUACAUCGGAAUCUACUUUUUCGUGGGGGAUAAGGUGGGGAAACUAAGCUUAAACCGCAAAACGCCUACGGGGGGAAACCAGGGGACUUCGGACCUUUGGCCGAUGAAUGAGGCGAUGUCGGAUUAGCUAGUUGGCGGGGUAAAGGCCCACCAAGGCGACGAUCCGUAGCUGGUCUGAGAGGAUGAUCAGCCACACUGGAACUGAGACACGGUCCAGACUCCUACGGGAGGCAGCAGUGGGGAAUAUUGGACAAUGGGCGCAAGCCUGAUCCAGCCAUACCGCGUGGGUGAAGAAGGCCUUCGGGUUGUAAAGCCCUUUUGUUGGGAAAGAAAAGCAGCAGGUUAAUACCCCGCUGUUCUGACGGUACCCAAAGAAUAAGCACCGGCUAACUUCGUG
This 491-nucleotide ribosomal RNA is filed under the name uncultured bacterium. Its description in RNAcentral is "partial 16S ribosomal RNA". It matches the Rfam family "Bacterial small subunit ribosomal RNA", at positions 29 to 507 of the family's 1533-position model. The record is from RNAcentral.